This 253-nucleotide ribosomal RNA is filed under the name uncultured bacterium. Its description in RNAcentral is "partial 16S ribosomal RNA". It matches the Rfam family "Bacterial small subunit ribosomal RNA", at positions 524 to 776 of the family's 1533-position model. The record is from RNAcentral.
UACGUAGGGUGCAAGCGUUAAUCGGAAUUACUGGGCGUAAAGCGUGCGCAGGUGGCUUUGCAAGACAGAUGUGAAAUCCCCGGGCUUAACCUGGGAACUGCAUUUGUGACUGCAUGGCUAGAGUGUGGCAGAGGGGGAUGGAAUUCCGCGUGUAGCAGUGAAAUGCGUAGAUAUGCGGAGGAACACCGAUGGCGAAGGCAAUCCCCUGGGCCUGCACUGACACUCAUGCACGAAAGCGUGGGGAGCAAACAGG